RNAcentral lists this transfer RNA (68 nucleotides) under Marmota monax (woodchuck). Its description in RNAcentral is "tRNA.Ala". The stretch from base 5 to 65 matches the Rfam family "tRNA", at positions 6 to 65 of the family's 71-position model. From Rfam's summary of the family: Transfer RNA (tRNA) molecules are approximately 80 nucleotides in length. The record is from RNAcentral. Lineage: Eukaryota; Metazoa; Chordata; Mammalia; Rodentia; Sciuridae.
GGAUUGUGGCUCAGUGGUGGAGCACUUGCCUAGCAUGUGUGAGGCCCUGGGUUCAAUUCUCAGCACCA